RNAcentral lists this ribosomal RNA (253 nucleotides) under uncultured bacterium. RNAcentral describes it as "partial 16S ribosomal RNA". It matches the Rfam family "Bacterial small subunit ribosomal RNA", at positions 524 to 776 of the family's 1533-position model. The record is from RNAcentral.
UACGGAGGGGGCUAGCGUUGUUCGGAAUUACUGGGCGUAAAGCGCGCGUAGGCGGACCUGCAAGUCGGGGGUGAAAGCCCGAGGCUCAACCUCGGAACUGCCUUCGAUACUGCGGGUCUCGAGUCCGGGAGAGGUGAGUGGAAUUCCUAGUGUAGAGGUGAAAUUCGUAGAUAUUAGGAAGAACACCAGUGGCGAAGGCGGCGAUCUGGACGAUGACUGACGCUGAGACGCGAAAGCGUGGGGAGCAAACAGG